Molecule: ribosomal RNA, 563 nt
Filed under: uncultured bacterium
Lineage: Bacteria
Description: bacterial SSU rRNA
Rfam family: Bacterial small subunit ribosomal RNA
Source: RNAcentral
GAACCCUGGCGGCAGGCCUAACACAUGCAAGUCGAGCGCGCCUUUCGGGGUGAGCGGCGGACGGGUUAGUAACGCGUGGGAAUAUGCCCUUUGGUACGGAAUAGCCUCUGGAAACGGAGAGUAAUACCGUAUGAGCCCUUCGGGGGAAAGAUUUAUCGCCAAAGGAUUAGCCCGCGUUAGAUUAGGUAGUUGGUGGGGUAAUGGCCUACCAAGCCUACGAUCUAUAGCUGGUUUUAGAGGAUGAUCAGCAACACUGGGACUGAGACACGGCCCAGACUCCUACGGGAGGCAGCAGUGGGGAAUCUUGGACAAUGGGGGCAACCCUGAUCCAGCCAUGCCGCGUGAGUGAUGAAGGCCUUAGGGUCGUAAAGCUCUUUCGCCUGUGAAGAUAAUGACGGUAGCAGGUAAAGAAACCCCGGCUAACUCCGUGCCAGCAGCCGCGGUAAUACGGAGGGGGUUAGCGUUGUUCGGAAUUACUGGGCGUAAAGCGCACGUAGGCGGACCAGAAAGUUGGGGGUGAAAUCCCGGGGCUCAACCCCGGAACUGCCUCCAAAACUAUUGCC